AGAGUUUGAUCCUGGCUCAGAUUGAACGCUGGCGGCAGGCCUAACACAUGCAAGUCGAGCGCGAAAGCCUUUCGGGGUGAGUAGAGCGGCGGACGGGUGAGUAACGCGCAGGAAUCUACCUGGUAGUGGGGGACAACUUGGGGAAACCCAAGCUAAUACCGCAUACGCCCUAAGGGGGAAAGCGGGGGAUCUUCGGACCUCGCGCUAUUGGAUGAGCCUGCGUAGGAUUAGCUUGUUGGUGAGGUAAAGGCUCACCAAGGCGACGAUCCUUAGCUGGUCUGAGAGGAUGAUCAGCCACACUGGAACUGAGACACGGUCCAGACUCCUACGGGAGGCAGCAGUGGGGAAUAUUGCGCAAUGGGGGCAACCCUGACGCAGCCAUGCCGCGUGUGUGAAGAAGGCCUUAGGGUUGUAAAGCACUUUCAAUUGGGAAGAAAAGCUUAACGUUAAUAGCGUUGAGCCCUGACAUUACCUUUAGAAGAAGCACCGGCUAACUCCGUGCCAGCAGCCGCGGUAAUACGGAGGGUGCGAGCGUUAAUCGGAAUUACUGGGCGUAAAGCGCGCGUAGGCGGUUUGUUAAGUCAGCUGUGAAAGCCCUGGGCUCAACCUGGGAACUGCAGUUGAUACUGGCCGACUAGAGUACGAGAGAGGGAGGUAGAAUUCCAUGUGUAGCGGUGAAAUGCGUAGAUAUAUGGAGGA
This 699-nucleotide ribosomal RNA is filed under the name uncultured bacterium. Its description in RNAcentral is "bacterial SSU rRNA". It matches the Rfam family "Bacterial small subunit ribosomal RNA", at positions 8 to 705 of the family's 1533-position model. The record is from RNAcentral.